GACGAACGCUGGCGGCGUGCUUAACACAUGCAAGUCGAACGGAAAGGCCUUUUCGGAGGUACUCGAGUGGCGAACGGGUGAGUAACACGUGGGUGAUCUGCCCUGCACUCUGGGGUAAGCCUGGGAAACUGGGUCUAAUACCGGAUAGGACCGCACUUUAGUGUGUGUGGUGGAAAGUUUUUUCGGUGUAGGAUGAGCCCGCGGCCUAUCAGCUUGUUGGUGGGGUAAUGGCCUACCAAGGCGGCGACGGGUAGCCGGACUGAGAGGUUGGUCGGCCACAUUGGGACUGAGAUACGGCCCAGACUCCUACGGGAGGCAGCAGUGGGGAAUAUUGCACAAUGGGCGCAAGCCUGAUGCAGCGACGCCGCGUGGGGGAUGACGGCCUUCGGGUUGUAAACUCCUUUCGCCAGGGACGAAGCGUUUUGUGACGGUACCUGGAGAAGAAGCACCGGCUAACUACGUG
RNAcentral lists this ribosomal RNA (463 nucleotides) under uncultured bacterium. RNAcentral's name for it is "partial 16S ribosomal RNA". It matches the Rfam family "Bacterial small subunit ribosomal RNA", at positions 28 to 507 of the family's 1533-position model. The record is from RNAcentral.